CCUACGGGUGGCAGCAGUGGGGAAUAUUGGACAAUGGGGGGAACCCUGAUCCAGCGACGCCGCGUGAGUGAAGAAGUAUUUCGGUAUGUAAAGCUCUAUCAGCAGGGAAGAAAAUGACGGUAACUGACUAAGAAGCCCCGGCUAACUACGUGCCAGCAGCCGCGGUUAUACGUAGGGUGCAAGCGUUAACCGGAUAUACUGGGUGGAACGGGAGCGUAGACGGUGCAGCAAGUCUGAUGUGAAAGGUCUGGGCCCAAACCCGGGACUGCAUUGGAAACUGUUGAACUGGAGUAAAGGAGAGGUAAGCGGAAUUCCAAGUGGAGCGGGGAAAUGCGGAGAUAUAAGGAGGAACACCAGAGGCGAAGGCGGCUUACUGGAACGUAACUGACGUUGAGGGUCGAAAGCGUGGGGAGCAAACAGGAUUAGAUACCCCAGUAGUC
Molecule: ribosomal RNA, 440 nt
Filed under: uncultured bacterium
Lineage: Bacteria
Description: partial 16S ribosomal RNA
Rfam family: Bacterial small subunit ribosomal RNA
Source: RNAcentral